CCCUACGGGGGGCUGCAGUGGGGAAUUUUACGCAAUGGGGGAAACCCUGACGUAGCGACACCGCGUGAGCGAAGAAGCCCCUUGGGGUGUAAAGCUCUGUCAGCUGGAACGAAACAAAUGACGGUACCAGCAGAGGAAGCAUCGGCUAACUACGUGCCAGCAGCCGCGGUAAGACGUAGGAUGCGAGCGUUGUCCGGAUUUAUUGGGCGUAAAGAGUUCGUAGGUGGUUUGUUAAGUUUGAUGUUAAAGAUCGGGGCUCAACCUCGGGACAGCAUUGAAUACUGGCAGACUUGAGUAUGGUAGAGGCUAGUGGAAUUCCCAGUGUAGCGGUGAAAUGCGUAGAUAUUGGGAAGAACACCGGUGGCGUAGGCGACUAGCUGGGCCAUAACUGACGCUGAGGAACGAAAGCCAGGGGAGCGAAAGGGAUUAGAUACCCGAGUAGUCG
This 445-nucleotide ribosomal RNA is filed under the name uncultured bacterium. RNAcentral describes it as "bacterial SSU rRNA". It matches the Rfam family "Bacterial small subunit ribosomal RNA", at positions 337 to 796 of the family's 1533-position model. The record is from RNAcentral.